UUCAAAAAUUUGAACUUUUAUGUGUUGUAAGGAAAGUAGAGUAACGGUACAUUAUUAUGUACAUGAAGUGGUGUCACCCUACUGUUGCAAUUCAUCUGGGCGGUAAGAUCAAGGAGUAUGCUUCCCGAUACCUCCCAAGGGAAAUCUCUAAUUUGAAUUUCAAAUUGACGGAUUAAUGUGAGCUUAUCCAUGUGGUUAUGCACUCUUUGAAUAGGAAUCUGUUUGCUGAAAGAUCCUAUAAAGAAUAUGAUGAUUAUAUUGAUCUUCUGAAUGCAAAUUAUAUACUAGUAUUAAUUUUCCUUCUGUUGAAUGGGCUUCUUUGUAUACAAGUUAUAACUUCUUGUGUCUUAUUAUUAUAUUAAUCGUAUAAUCCAAUAGUUUCAAGAGAUUUUAAGUA
Long non-coding RNA from Solanum tuberosum (potato), 397 nucleotides. RefSeq lists it as uncharacterized. The record is from RefSeq and is a predicted model, not a curated record. Lineage: Eukaryota; Viridiplantae; Streptophyta; Magnoliopsida; Solanales; Solanaceae. The transcript is spliced from 2 exons.